GACGAACGCUGGCGGCGUGCUUAACACAUGCAAGUCGAACGGAAAGGCCCUGCGUUUGUGGGGUGCUCGAGUGGCGAACGGGUGAGUAACACGUGAGUAACCUGCCCUUGACUUUGGGAUAACUUCAGGAAACUGGGGCUAAUACCGGAUAGGAGCUCCUGCUGCAUGGUGGGGGUUGGAAAGUGUCGGCGGUUGGGGAUGGACUCGCGGCUUAUCAGCUUGUUGGGGGGGUAGUGGCUUACCAAGGCUUUGACGGGUAGCCGGCCUGAGAGGGUGACCGGCCACAUUGGGACUGAGAUACGGCCCAGACUCCUACGGGAGGCAGCAGUGGGGAAUAUUGCACAAUGGGCGGAAGCCUGAUGCAGCAACGCCGCGUGCGGGAUGACGGCCUUCGGGUUGUAAACCGCUUUCGCCUGUGACGAAGCGUGAGUGACGGUAAUGGGUAAAGAAGCACCGGCUAACUACGUG
Molecule: ribosomal RNA, 468 nt
Filed under: uncultured bacterium
Lineage: Bacteria
Description: partial 16S ribosomal RNA
Rfam family: Bacterial small subunit ribosomal RNA
Source: RNAcentral